CAUUACAUUCCUGCAUAUAUGUGCUGCGGAGCUUUAUGUCGUGAAGGUUGAACCGAAUGAAUCUAGAUCGAAUACAUCGUUUUGUCGGUGCAUAACGUGUAUUUAUACUGACAUUGCUGGGCUUGGACAGUGCUGUAUUGUGACCAGCCAAUCACUGCAGUGAUCCAAAGAUAAUAAGUAAGUUUUAGAUCAUCAUUGCAAUCUGUACGGGAUCCACUUUACGGUAGUACCUCAAAGCUGUAAGCAUGGCUGAAAAGGUUAUUCCUGCCGAAAUCAUCAAGGUGAGGGGUGGCUGGCUUACGCUUUCCCCAGAUAUGCUUUAGAAAAAGUUAUAUGACCAGAAAAUCUUCAAGCUGUCUCAUAUGCUGUGUGCGUGAUAAACGUGAGAAUGCACGGUGGACAUGUACAGGAGCUCAAGGAAGUUGUGAAGGAGUAUCCUUAUGAAGCCACAUCGGAAGACGCCGCUGCUCUUGGAGGCUGCUACCUUGGUGUCAGCUC
Molecule: long non-coding RNA, 498 nt
Filed under: Coccomyxa subellipsoidea
Lineage: Eukaryota; Viridiplantae; Chlorophyta; Trebouxiophyceae; Coccomyxaceae
Description: long non-coding RNA (CSUB_LNC000471)
Source: RNAcentral